Molecule: ribosomal RNA, 253 nt
Filed under: uncultured bacterium
Lineage: Bacteria
Description: partial 16S ribosomal RNA
Rfam family: Bacterial small subunit ribosomal RNA
Source: RNAcentral
UACGUAGGGGGCGAGCGUUGUCCGGAAUCACUGGGCGUAAAGGGCGCGUAGGCGGCCGCGUAAGUCACUUGUGAAAUCCCGGGGCUCAACUCCGGGGCCGCAGGUGAGACUGCGUGGCUAGAGCACGGUAGAGGCGAGUGGAAUUCCCGGUGUAGCGGUGGAAUGCGUAGAUAUCGGGAAGAACACCGGUGGCGAAGGCGGCUCGCUGGGCCGUUGCUGACGCUGAUGCGCGAAAGCGUGGGGAGCAAACAGG